CUUCGGCGAAGCUCAGAAUUGAAGCCCCGGUAAACGGCGGCCGUAACAAUAACGGUCCUAAGGUAGCGAAAUUCCUUGUCGGGUAAGUUCCGACCUGCACGAAUGGCGUAAUGAUGGCCAGGCUGUCUCCACCCGAGACUCAGUGAAAUUGAACUCGCUGUGAAGAUGCAGUGUACCCGCGGCAAGACGGAAAGACCCCGUGAACCUUUACUAUAGCUUGACACUGAACAUUGAGCCUUGAUGUGUAGGAUAGGUGGGAGGCUUUGAAGUGUGGACGCCAGUCUGCAUGGAGCCGACCUUGAAAUACCACCCUUUAAUGUUUGAUGUUCUAACGUUGACCCGUAAUCCGGGUUGCGGACAGUGUCUGGUGGGUAGUUUGACUGGGGCGGUCUCCUCCUAAAGAGUAACGGAGGAGCACGAAGGUUGGCUAAUCCUGGUCGGACAUCAGGAGGUUAGUGCAAUGGCAUAAGCCAGCUUGACUGCGAGCGUGACGGCGCGAGCAGGUGCGAAAGCAGGUCAUAGUGAUCCGGUGGUUCUGAAUGGAAGGGCCAUCGCUCAACGGAUAAAAGGUACUCCGGGGAUAACAGGCUGAUACCGCCCAAGAGUUCAUAUCGACGGCGGUGUUUGGCACCUCGAUGUCGGCUCAUCACAUCCUGGGGCUGAAGUAGGUCCCAAGGGUAUGGCUGUUCGCCAUUUAAAGUGGUACGCGAGCUGGGUUUAGAACGUCGUGAGACAGUUCGGUCCCUAUCUGCCGUGGGCGCUGGAGAACUGAGGGGGGCUGCUCCUAGUACGAGAGGACCGGAGUGGACGCAUCACUGGUGUUCGGGUUGUCAUGCCAAUGGCACUGCCCGGUAGCUAAAUGCGGAAGAGAUAAGUGCUGAAAGCAUCUAAGCACGAAACUUGCCCCGAGAUGAGUUCUCCCUGACUCCUUGAGAGUCCUGAAGGAACGUUGAAGACGACGACGUUGAUAGGCCGGGUGUGUAAGCGCAGCGAUGCGUUGAGCUAACCGGUACUAAUGAACCGUG
Molecule: ribosomal RNA, 1025 nt
Filed under: Enterococcus faecalis
Lineage: Bacteria; Bacillati; Bacillota; Bacilli; Lactobacillales; Enterococcaceae
Description: bacterial LSU rRNA
Rfam family: Bacterial large subunit ribosomal RNA
Source: RNAcentral